UUAAUUUUGUUAAUUAUGUUGAAAUUCAUUUUCAAAAAUAUAUUAAAAUCAUUCGUUCAAAUAAUGGUCUUGAGUUUUAUGUUGUUUGCUUUUAUAAUCCAUAAUGCAUUUUAAAUCAUCAAUCAUGUAUUGAGACACUAAAAUAAAAUGGGGUUGUGAAAAAAAAACACCAAUAUAUUUUAAAUAGAAUAAAACUUAUUUUACUUCAAGUAGAAUUGACUUUAUCUUUUC
RNAcentral lists this long non-coding RNA (231 nucleotides) under Lathyrus oleraceus (garden pea). RNAcentral describes it as "Pisum sativum (pea) long non-coding RNA (PSAT_LNC013739)". Lineage: Eukaryota; Viridiplantae; Streptophyta; Magnoliopsida; Fabales; Fabaceae. The record is from RNAcentral.